RNAcentral lists this ribosomal RNA (466 nucleotides) under uncultured bacterium. RNAcentral's name for it is "bacterial SSU rRNA". It matches the Rfam family "Bacterial small subunit ribosomal RNA", at positions 329 to 792 of the family's 1533-position model. The record is from RNAcentral.
GCCCAGACUCCUACGGGAGGCAGCAGUGAGGAAUAUUGGUCAAUGGUCGGGAGACUGAACCAGCCAAGCCGCGUGAGGGAGGAAGGUACAGAGUAUCGUAAACCUCUUUUGUCAGGGAACAAAGGCGGGGACGUGUCCCCGGAUGAGUGUACCUGAAGAAAAAGCAUCGGCUAACUCCGUGCCAGCAGCCGCGGUAAUACGGAGGAUCCGAGCGUUAUCCGGAUUUAUUGGGUUUAAAGGGAGCGUAGGCGGGUUGUUAAGUCAGUUGUGAAAGUUUGCGGCUCAACCGUAAAAUUGCAGUUGAUACUGGCAUCCUUGAGUACAGUAGAGGUAGGCGGAAUUCGUGGUGUAGCGGUGAAAUGCUUAGAUAUCACGAAGAACUCCGAUUGCGAAGGCAGCCUGCUGGACUGUAACUGACGCUGAUGCUCGAAAGUGUGGGUAUCAAACAGGAUUAGAUACCCGAGUA